Ciona intestinalis (vase tunicate) is the source of this 525-nucleotide non-coding RNA. NCBI's taxonomy places the organism in Eukaryota, Metazoa, Chordata, Ascidiacea, Phlebobranchia, Cionidae. The record is from RefSeq and is a predicted model, not a curated record.
AUUUUAUGGAGAUUUUUUCUGCUUUGAUAUUUCGUUUUGCUAAUAUAUGAUUUAACUUUAGGGCUAGAUGUUGUGGUAAACAGUGAAUGUAUGGUUCUGCAGUUAUUCGGCGUCGUUUGAUAGGCAUAGUUCAAACUCCUAAUGUCUUCUAAUGUUGAGAACACUGUGGCAGAAAUUCUGGAAGACUUCUCAAAAUGUGAUAGAACUGGAAGAAGGAAUGCAGUAGCAGACACUAAAGAUGAACCUUUACUUAACGCUGAUGUUGAAACUAGUUUGAAAAAUUUGUCAGUUAGUGGUGAUAAAACACAAGGUACAUCGACAACAAACAGUUCAACUAAAUCUAGCUGAUCAGUUGCUGCAUACAGAAAUGACAUUUCUUUUAUCUACUGUUCCACACUGUGUUACUUAUACAGCGUUUCAAUGAACAAUAAUUUUAUUUACGAAUCCGAGUUUUAUCCUAAACUUUCUGUGCUGUGUAAUACAGAGACUGCCAUCUUACAACUUAAGAGACAUUUCUGCUCCAUA